UAACUUGAGUGCUGUAGGGGANACUGGAAUUCCUGGUGUAGCGGUGAAAUGCGCAGAUAUCAGGAGGAACCCCGAUGGCGAAGGCAGGUNUUUGGGCAGUUACUGACNCUGAGGAGCGAAAGCAUGGGUAGCGAACAGGAUUAGAUACCCUGGUAGUCCAUGCCGUAAACGGUGGGCNCUAGGUGUAGGGGGCUUCCACGUUUUUUGUNCCGUAGCUAACGCAUUAANCNCCCCCCCUGGGGAGUACGGCCGCAAGGCUAAAACUCAAAGGAAUUGACGGGGGCCCNCNCAANCGGCGGAGCAUGUGGAUUAAUUCGAUGCAACGNGAAGAACCUUACCUGGGCUUGACAUACNUCAGAUNGNUGCANANAAGUAGUUUCCCUUGUGGUUGGUGUACAGGUGGUGCANGGUUGUNGUCANCUCGUGUCGUGAGAUGUUGGGUUAAGUCCCGCAACGAGCGCAACCCUUGUNUUAUGUUGCCAGCAUUUUAGUUGGGGANUCAUGAGAGACUGCCGGGGUUAACUCGGAGGAAGGUGGGGAUGACGUCAAAUCAUCAUNCCCCUUAUGUCCAGGGCUUCACACAUGCUACAAUGGUCGGUACAACGCGCAGCGACNCUGUGAGGUGGAGCGAAUCGCUGAAAGCCGGUCUUAGUUCGGAUUGGGGUCUGCAACUCGACCCCAUGAAGUCGGAGUC
RNAcentral lists this ribosomal RNA (694 nucleotides) under Corynebacterium sp. CSF. Its description in RNAcentral is "partial 16S ribosomal RNA". It matches the Rfam family "Bacterial small subunit ribosomal RNA", at positions 638 to 1333 of the family's 1533-position model. The record is from RNAcentral. Lineage: Bacteria; Bacillati; Actinomycetota; Actinomycetes; Mycobacteriales; Corynebacteriaceae.